GCGGUGAGAGAAGAGAGAGAGAGGUGGAGCGGUGAGAGCAGAGAGAGAGAGAGGUGGAGCGGUGAGAGAAGAGAGAGAGAGGUGGAGCGGUGAGAGCAGAGAGAGAGAGAGAGGAGCGGUGAGAGAAGAGAGAGAGAGGUGGAGCGGUGAGAGCAGAGAGAGAGAGAGUUGGAGCGGUGAGAGCAGAGAGAGAGAGGUGGAGCGGUGAGAGCAGAGAGAGAGAGAGAGGAGGUGGAGCGGUGAGAGCAGAGAGAGAGAGAGAGUUGGAGCGGUGAGAGCAGAGAGAGAGAGUUGGAGCGGUGAGAGCAGAGAGAGAGAGAGUGGAGCGGUGAGAGCAGAGAGAGAGAGGAGGAGCGGUGAGAGCAGAGAGAGAGAGAGGUGGAGCGGUGAGAGCAGAGAGAGAGACACUGGACACUGAAUCAGCUCACAUUAAGGCACUGCAGGAAAAAAAUAAAUGGGGUGUUAUUCAGUUUCACAGUGAACAGAGGAGCCGGCAGAAAAAAAGAAAACGCUUCCCCGAUGAGACUGAAGAUGACAUAGCAAACGAACAGAAGUCAGACACUGGAUUUUGCUAAACACAGUGUUUUAUGUGGCUCUGGAUAGUAUAAUCAGUCAUUUGCACAUGCGGUUCCAC
This is a long non-coding RNA of Oncorhynchus tshawytscha (Chinook salmon), 634 nucleotides long. NCBI's taxonomy places the organism in Eukaryota, Metazoa, Chordata, Actinopteri, Salmoniformes, Salmonidae. The record is from Ensembl.